GGGGGUUAGCGUUGUUCGGAAUUACUGGGCGUAAAGCGCACGGUAGGCGGACUGGAAAGUUGGGGGUGAAAUCCCGGGGCUCAACCUCGGAACUGCCUCCAAAACUAUCAGUCUAGAGUUCGAGAGAGGUGAGUGGAAUUCCAAGUGUAGAGGUGAAAUUCGUAGAUAUUUGGAGGAACACCAGUGGCGAAGGCGGCUCACUGGCUCGAUACUGACGCUGAGGUGCGAAAGUGUGGGGAGCAAACAGGAUUAGAUACCCUGGUAGUCCACACCGUAAACGAUGAAUGCCAGUCGUCGGCAAGUAUACUUGUCGGUGACACACCUAACGGAUUAAGCAUUCCGCCUGGGGAGUACGGUCGCAAGAUUAAAACUCAAAGGAAUUGACGGGGGGCCCGCACAAGCGGUGGAGCAUGUGGUUUAAUUCGAAGCAACGCGAAGAACCUUACCUACACUUGACAUCCAGAGAACUUUCUAGAGAUAGAUUGGUGCCUUCGGGAACUCUGAGACAGGUGCUGCAUGGCU
Molecule: ribosomal RNA, 522 nt
Filed under: uncultured Paracoccaceae bacterium
Lineage: Bacteria; Pseudomonadati; Pseudomonadota; Alphaproteobacteria; Rhodobacterales; Paracoccaceae
Description: bacterial SSU rRNA
Rfam family: Bacterial small subunit ribosomal RNA
Source: RNAcentral